RNAcentral lists this ribosomal RNA (505 nucleotides) under uncultured bacterium. RNAcentral's name for it is "partial 16S ribosomal RNA". It matches the Rfam family "Bacterial small subunit ribosomal RNA", at positions 899 to 1397 of the family's 1533-position model. The record is from RNAcentral.
ACUCAAAGGAAUAGACGGGGGCCCGCACAAGCGGUGGAACAUGUGGUUUAAUUCGAUGCAACGCGAAGAACCUUACCUGGGCUUGACAUCUAGGGAACCCUGUGGAAACACGGGGGUGCCUUCGGGAACCCUAAGACAGGUGGUGCACGGUUGUCGUCAGCUCGUGUCGUGAGAUGUUGGGUUAAGUCCCGCAACGAGCGCAACCCUCGUUGCCUGUUGCUACAGGCUGCAAAGUGCUGAGCACUCAGGCGAGACUGCCGGUGACAAACCGGAGGAAGGUGGGGAUGACGUCAAAUCAUCAUGCCCCUUAUGUCCAGGGCGACACACGUGUUACAAUGGGACAGGACAACGGGCAGCUUGCCAGCGAUGGUCGGCUAAUCCCUUAAACCUGCCCUCAGUUCGGAUUGGAGUCUGCAACUCGACUCCAUGAAGUCGGAAUCGCUAGUAAACGCGGAUCAGCCAUGCCGCGUUGAAUACGUUCCCGGGCCUUGCACACACCGCCCGU